Molecule: long non-coding RNA, 342 nt
Filed under: Vigna radiata
Lineage: Eukaryota; Viridiplantae; Streptophyta; Magnoliopsida; Fabales; Fabaceae
Description: long non-coding RNA (VRAD_LNC006411)
Source: RNAcentral
UUUCUUUUUCUGUUUCAGACUUUCCCUAUAUAAAGGGAGUCUUGUAAUAUACAAUGUACAGGUGGUGGGUGACAGACACCACUCUAAACUCUAGAUUCUCAAUUCCAAAUGCUUUAGUUUAAGAUUUUAAUCGCUUUCGUAGUAGAUACGUUCUUGGCUUCACUGGAUUUUUCUGAGGAGCUCAUGAGGGUGACAGGCCGUGAGUUUCUUAAUGAUUUCGGUAACUUGUACUUUUGUUCUUGAAUUUUAAUUGAAAUCUGAUGUUUACUUUCAGUGUUCUUGAUCCCAUUUUACAAUUUUGCUUUUUAAUUUUGAUUCUCGCACAUGACUUUACUUUCCCUG